AUUUGAGUAUCAAUGUAUGUCCAGUGACUUGUCUCUGAUUAACAGACUUCCUUACCUUACCUUAAAACAUUCUAAGCCUUUAGACAGAGCUUCAUUUAUUCCACCAAUUACAAAUCAAAGAAUCUUUAAACUCACCUAUAACCCAUAAUCCCCUCCUUCAAGGUGUCCUGCCUUUACAGGCCAGACUGAUGUAUACCUCCCAUGUAUUGAUUUAUGUCUUUCAGUAUAAUUCCUGACUCCCUAAAAUGUAUAAAACCAAACUGCAACCCAACCACAGUGGGAACACUUGUUCAAAGCUUCUUGGGCGUGGUUCUCCAUGGUUGCACAUAUUCCACUCAGAAUAAACCUCGUUAGAUUAUUUUACAGAGUUUGGGUUAUUUUCCACAGAUGGAUAUAAAGAGAAAUAUGAGGAAGUAAAAUAGAUAGUUAUUCAAAUAAAAAUAUAUGUGAUGAAUGCUGGACUGGCCAAAGUAAAUUAGAGAGUUAGAAAAUGACAAGUGUUGGGAAAUUCAUUCAGAAUGCAGCCCAGGGAGACAAGAAGAUUGUUAAAAAUAACACGAAAGAGCAAUUAUGUCACAUGAAGGACAGAUUGAGAGGUUCUAAUAAUUGGUUGUUAGGAGUUCCAAAGGAAGAGAAUAAAGAGAAUGCUAGACACAACGUAUGAUGAAAUAAUGCCUGAGAAUCUUAAGAACUGAAGAAAGAUGUGAGCUCUCAGAUCCCAUGCUUGCCUGAAAGAUAAGUGUGAAAAAACCACCACUCCUCAUUCCAGAAGAAUGUUGCCAAGAAGGCAGAGCUCCCACUUCCCUCAGUUCACAGUCAAGCAGUACAGAAAAAUAGCCAAGGACACAAAGAGAAGAUGGCCAUUCUACAAGCAAAGAGAGAGGUAUCACCAGAAACAAACCUGACACCUUGACCUUGAACUUCUAGCCUCCAGAACUGGCCUCUGACUGCUGUAACUCACUGAGGUACUGCUCGGCCUGCUUGG
Molecule: non-coding RNA, 985 nt
Organism: Microcebus murinus (gray mouse lemur)
Lineage: Eukaryota; Metazoa; Chordata; Mammalia; Primates; Cheirogaleidae
Source: RefSeq, a predicted model, not a curated record